Molecule: long non-coding RNA, 623 nt
Organism: Rhincodon typus (whale shark)
Lineage: Eukaryota; Metazoa; Chordata; Chondrichthyes; Orectolobiformes; Rhincodontidae
Exons: 3
Source: RefSeq, a predicted model, not a curated record
GAUGACCUGGCAGAGCUACUACUUGGAGAGUCAAAGUUGGAGCUGUACCUGAAAGACAAUCCAAUCAAACAAGGAGUCACUCCUCCAGAUGCCAAGCCAAAGCUAAGCGAGGUGAAGAAGCACUUGAUAGGUGCACUCGAUAGAGGCAAUUUAAAGCAAGAUUUUGCGCAGGAAACCAACUUGAUUUUGGCCAAGUGUUACUACGUGGAGGGUGACCACACCCGAGCUCUCAACCUGUAUUCCAAGGUAGAUCUGGAAAAGUUGCAGUUGGUGGGAGUGCCUGUCUACAGACUGAGGAUCAUUGCUGAAUCCUAUGCUACAAAAGACCACAAAAUAUAGUGAACCAAAAGGAAGAUGCAGAAAAUCUGAAAUGAAAACAGAAAGUAAUGGAAAUGCUCAGCAGCGUCAGGUAUCAUCUGAGAAGAGAGUUAAUGUUUCAAGCCUGCGACUUUUCAUCAGAACUGAGGGAUGUUAGGAAAAUCAUAGAUUUUGAGCAAUUAGACGUUGGGCAAAAGAAUGAAGGUAAUUUCUGUAAUAGGGUGGAGGGCAGGAGGGGUUUUAAACAGCUGCCAUCUGAAAGCAAAAUCAAGAAAAUUAAAAGGGAAAAAAGCAACAAAGAAAAA